RNAcentral lists this ribosomal RNA (859 nucleotides) under Snippocia nivea. Its description in RNAcentral is "SSU rRNA". The stretch from base 95 to 859 matches the Rfam family "Bacterial small subunit ribosomal RNA", at positions 1 to 1198 of the family's 1533-position model. The record is from RNAcentral. Lineage: Eukaryota; Fungi; Ascomycota; Arthoniomycetes; Arthoniales; Arthoniaceae.
AACGGCUGAACCAGCAAUUUGGGUGAACGGAAAAGCAUUUUGUGGUAACAGAUGUAGUUUUUUUUGGCUUUUUAGUCAACUAUCUUGAAUAGAGCCGUUAGUUCUAUGGGUAGAAAAGUUAACGCUUUUUUUGUAAGCUUCGGCUUUUAGCGAUUUAUUCGCAUAAAGUUCUAUAUAGAAUACAGAUGAUGACUAUUUUCUAUAUAAAAGUCUUGACUAAAACACGUGCCAGCAGUCGCGGUAACACGGGACAGACGAGUGUUAUUCAUCUUUAAUAGGUUUAAAGGGUACCUAGACGGUAGAUUCAACCCCUAGAUUAAGAAAGGUACGUAUCUGCUAGAGUUUUAUGUGAGAGGUUUUUAGUACUAGCAGAGUAGAGAUGAAAUUCUUUGAUACUGUAGGGCACUGAUAACGGCGAAGGCAGACCUUUAUGUAAAAACUGACGUUGAGGGACGAAGGCUUGGGUAACAAACAGGAUUAGGUACCCUAAUAGUCCAGGCAGAGACUGAUGAGUGCCAUAGAUUAGAUAUAUUUGGUCUAUAAAUGAAAGUGUAAGCACUCCACCUUAAGAGUAAUGCGGCAACGCAGGAACUGAAAUCAUUAGACCGUUUCUGAUACCAGUAGUGAAGUAUGUUGUUUAAUUCGAUAACCCACGAAAAAUCUUACCACAGUUUGUAUAUUAUAGUAUUUAUAGGUUAUUACUAAUAAUACAGGUGUUGCAUGGCUGUCUUCAGUUGAUGUCGUGAGACGCAGGUUAGAUCCGGAAAUCAACGUGUAACCCGUACUUUAUUUUGUCUAAAAUAGAGUAGUUUCUCUGGCAUAUUGGAACGAUAACUGGGACCAAGACAAGUCCUCAUGG